This 206-nucleotide ribosomal RNA is filed under the name uncultured Spirochaetales bacterium. RNAcentral's name for it is "partial 16S ribosomal RNA". It matches the Rfam family "Bacterial small subunit ribosomal RNA", at positions 568 to 774 of the family's 1533-position model. Lineage: Bacteria; Pseudomonadati; Spirochaetota; Spirochaetia; Spirochaetales. The record is from RNAcentral.
CAUGUAGGCGGAUAUGCAAGCUUGGUGUGAAAGGCAGGGGCUUAACUCCUGGACUGCGUUGAGAACUGCAUAACUAGAGUAACUGAGGGGCAACCGGAAUUCCAGGUGUAGGGUGAAAUCUGUAGAUAUCUGGAAGAACACCAAUGGCGAAGGCAGGUUACCAGCAGAUUACUGACGCUGAGGUGCGAAGGUGCGGGGAGCAAACA